CCAAAGGCUCUUUUAAGAGCCACCUAAUACAUGAAAAUAAGUGUGU
This is a non-coding RNA of Salmo salar (Atlantic salmon), 46 nucleotides long. NCBI's taxonomy places the organism in Eukaryota, Metazoa, Chordata, Actinopteri, Salmoniformes, Salmonidae. The record is from Rfam.